RNAcentral lists this ribosomal RNA (429 nucleotides) under Gemmatimonadota bacterium. RNAcentral's name for it is "Gemmatimonadetes bacterium partial 16S ribosomal RNA". It matches the Rfam family "Bacterial small subunit ribosomal RNA", at positions 355 to 776 of the family's 1533-position model. The record is from RNAcentral. Lineage: Bacteria; Pseudomonadati; Gemmatimonadota.
UAGGGAAUCUUCGGCAAUGGACGAAAGUCUGACCGAGCAACGCCGCGUGAGUGAAGAAGGUUUUCGGAUCGUAAAACUCUGUUGUUAGAGAAGAACAAGGACGUUAGUAACUGAACGUCCCCUGACGGUAUCUAACCAGAAAGCCACGGCUAACUACGUGCCAGCAGCCGCGGUAAUACGUAGGUGGCAAGCGUUGUCCGGAUUUAUUGGGCGUAAAGCGAGCGCAGGCGGUUUCUUAAGUCUGAUGUGAAAGCCCCCGGCUCAACCGGGGAGGGUCAAUGGAAACUGGGAGACUUGAGUGCAGAAGAGGAGAGUGGAAUUCCCUGUGUAGCGGUGAAAUGCGUAGAUAUAUGGAGGAACACCAGUGGCGAAGGCGGCGCUCUGGUCUGUAACUGACGCUGAGGCUCGAAAGCGUGGGUAGCAAACAGG